RNAcentral lists this ribosomal RNA (1236 nucleotides) under metagenome. Its description in RNAcentral is "bacterial LSU rRNA". It matches the Rfam family "Bacterial large subunit ribosomal RNA", at positions 1564 to 2808 of the family's 2925-position model. The record is from RNAcentral.
UGAGUACGAGAUGCUACGGCAUCGAAGCAGUCUAUGUCAUACUUCCAAGAAAAGCUUGCAAUGUCAUAAACAAAUAAUGCCUGUACCAUAACCGAUACAGGUGGGUAGGUAGAGUAUACUAAGGGGCGCGAGAUAACUCUCUCUAAGGAACUCGGCAAAAUGACUCCGUAACUUCGGGAGAAGGAGUGCCUUAUUUUUAUAAGGUUGCAAUAACAAGAUCCAAGCAACUGUUUACCAAAAACACAGGUCUCCGCUAAGUCGUAAGACGAUGUAUGGGGGCUGACGCCUGCCCAGUGCCAGAAGGUUAAAGAAGUUGGUUAGCAUUAGCGAAGCUGAUAACUGAAGCCCUGGUGAACGGCGGCCGUAACGAUAACGGUCCUAAGGUAGCGAAAUUCCUUGUCGGGUAAGUUCCGACACGCACGAAAGGCGUAAUGAUUUGGAUACUGUCUCGGAGAGGGGCUCGGUGAAAUAGACUUGUCUGUGAAGAUGCGGACUACCUGCACCUGGACAGAAAGACCCUAUGAAGCUUUACUGUAACUUGAGAUUGAAAUUGGACUUUAUCUGCGCAGUAUAGGUGGGAGACGUUGAAAAUAUUCUUGCGGGAAUAUUGGAGUCAUCAGUGAGAUACCACUCUUAUAAUGUUAGAUUUCUAACUUUGUAUCAUUAUCUGGUCAAAGAACAGUUUCAGGCGGGCAGUUUGACUGGGGCGGUCGCCUCCCAAACGGUAACGGAGGCGCACAAAGGUUUCCUCUGAACGUGUAGAAAUCGUAUCUAGAGUGUAAAGGCAUAAGGAAGCUUGACUGUGAGACCUACAAGUCGAGCAGGGACGAAAGUCGGUCUUAGUGAUCUGACGGUGCUGAGUGGAAAGGCCGUCACUCAACGGAUAAAAGUUACUCUAGGAUAACAGGCUGAUCUCCCCCAAGAGUUCACAUCGACGGGGAGGUUUGGCACCUCGAUGUCGGCUCAUCGCAUCCUGGGGCGGUAGUACGUCCCAAGGGUUGGGCUGUUCGCCCAUGAAAGCGGUACGCGAGCUGGGUUCAGAACGUCGUGAGACAGUUCGGUCCAUAUCCGGUGUAGGCGUUAGAAUAUUGAGAGGAGCCUUCUUUAGUACGAGAGGACCUAGAAGGACAUACCUCUGGUGUACCAGUUAUCGUGCCAACGGUAAACGCUGGGUAGCCAUGUAUGGAGAGGAUAACCGCUGAAAGCAUCUAAGUGGGAAGCCCACCUCAAGAUAAG